GACGAACGCUGGCGGCGUGCUUAACACAUGCAAGUCGAACGGAAAGGCCCUGCUUUUGUGGGGUGCUCGGGUGGCGAACGGGUGAGUAACACGUGAGUAACCUGCCCUUGACUUUGGGAUAACUUCAGGAAACUGGGGCUAAUACCGGAUAGGAGCUCCUGCUGCAUGGUGGGGGUUGGAAAGUUUCGGCGGUUGGGGAUGGACUCGCGGCUUAUCAGCUUGUUGGUGGGGUAGUGGCUUACCAAGGCUUUGACGGGUAGCCGGCCUGAGAGGGUGACCGGCCACAUUGGGACUGAGAUACGGCCCAGACUCCUACGGGAGGCAGCAGUGGGGAAUAUUGCACAAUGGGCGGAAGCCUGAUGCAGCAACGCCGCGUGCGGGAUGACGGCCUUCGGGUUGUAAACCGCUUUCGCCUGUGACGAAGCGUGAGUGACGGUAAUGGGUAAAGAAGCACCGGCUAACUACGUGC
RNAcentral lists this ribosomal RNA (469 nucleotides) under uncultured bacterium. Its description in RNAcentral is "partial 16S ribosomal RNA". It matches the Rfam family "Bacterial small subunit ribosomal RNA", at positions 28 to 508 of the family's 1533-position model. The record is from RNAcentral.